Molecule: ribosomal RNA, 384 nt
Filed under: uncultured bacterium
Lineage: Bacteria
Description: bacterial SSU rRNA
Rfam family: Bacterial small subunit ribosomal RNA
Source: RNAcentral
AUUGAACGCUGGCGGCAUGCCUUACACAUGCAAGUCGAACGGUAACGCGGGGCAACCUGGCGACGAGUGGCGAACGGGUGAGUAAUACAUCGGAACGUGCCCAGUAGUGGGGGAUAGCCCGGCGAAAGCCGGAUUAAUACCGCAUACGACCUACGGGUGAAAGCGGGGGAUCGCAAGACCUCGCGCUAUUGGAGCGGCCGAUGUCAGAUUAGGUAGUUGGUGGGGUAAAGGCCUACCAAGCCUACGAUCUGUAGCUGGUCUGAGAGGACGACCAGCCACACUGGGACUGAGACACGGCCCAGACUCCUACGGGAGGCAGCAGUGGGGAAUUUUGGACAAUGGGCGCAAGCCUGAUCCAGCCAUGCCGCGUGCGGGAAGAAGGCC